UACGGGGGAUGCGAGCGUUAUCCGGAUUUAUUGGGCGUAAAGGGAACGCAGGCGGUCUUUUAAGUCUGAUGUGAAAGCCUUCGGCUUAACCGGAGUAGUGCAUUGGAAACUGUUGAACUUGAGUGCAGAAGAGGAGAGUGGAACUCCAUGUGUAGCGGUGGAAUGCGUAGAUAUAUGGAAGAACACCAGUGGCGAAGGCGGCUCUCUGGUCUGCAACUGACGCUGAGGCUCGAAAGCAUGGGUAGCGAACAGG
This 253-nucleotide ribosomal RNA is filed under the name uncultured Lactobacillus sp. RNAcentral describes it as "partial 16S ribosomal RNA". It matches the Rfam family "Bacterial small subunit ribosomal RNA", at positions 524 to 776 of the family's 1533-position model. Lineage: Bacteria; Bacillati; Bacillota; Bacilli; Lactobacillales; Lactobacillaceae. The record is from RNAcentral.